GCGCUCGCUUUAGCAGCACAUAUACUAAAAAUGAUACAGAAAAGAUUAGCUUGGUCCCUACACAAGGACGACACUAAAAUAUUACAUAUUAUAAUUUA
Small nuclear RNA from Piliocolobus tephrosceles (Ugandan red Colobus), 98 nucleotides. The record is from Ensembl. NCBI's taxonomy places the organism in Eukaryota, Metazoa, Chordata, Mammalia, Primates, Cercopithecidae.